Molecule: long non-coding RNA, 754 nt
Organism: Betta splendens (Siamese fighting fish)
Lineage: Eukaryota; Metazoa; Chordata; Actinopteri; Anabantiformes; Osphronemidae
Exons: 3
Source: RefSeq, a predicted model, not a curated record
GCAUCUAACCAGAGAUGAUAAAAAAAAAAAAAAAAAAAAAAAAAAAAAAAAAAAAUGAAGUGUCAUCUUCAUAUCAUCUCAAGCACAAGUUACACAGCUAUGUAGCUAUUGCAACACUGUUUUUUUUUCACAUGUUGAGAUGGUUCAUUUUAGUUUUCAUUAUUGCAGGUGCAAUAUUAUUUUGCUUGAUCAUCACAUCCGACACUGAUCAUCACAUUCAGGCUACGUGUACAUCCUAAAGGUCACACCAUGCGCGCUUAAUUACGACGACGUCAAUGCCACCAGAUAAUUAAUUCAGCAACGACGCCACCUAGCGGGCACAGAGGCGCAACGCAAGUUUCUAGAAGGUACCAAGAGGCGUUUCGAACUCUCUGGCAGUUUCCAUGGGGAUCGAAAGCUCCUCCUCUGAGCUGCCCGAGGAGGAUCUGUGAAUGAACGAACGUCCUGUACCGCUCUGCCCACAGUCACGGCGGCGGCGGACGAGGGGACCUGAGCUCAGCAACGUGCCUCACUACAAUCCCACACAGAUUCACGAGGACGCAUCAACUCAAUCAAACCACGUCCUGUCACUGGACAAUGAAUGAGCCAUGUGGCACUGAAGCCGCUGUCUGGCGUCCUCAUGGAGGGCAGAGGUGCUCUGUACUUACCUUGGAUAUAUUGAGGACGGUCGUUAAAGGUUUAUCUGAGCUCGUCGUCUUCUCCUGAAGAGCUUCAACUGUGAGCUUCGCUGCAGCUCCUGUGGGCAGUAAGUCUC